Molecule: long non-coding RNA, 529 nt
Filed under: Hordeum vulgare
Lineage: Eukaryota; Viridiplantae; Streptophyta; Magnoliopsida; Poales; Poaceae
Description: long non-coding RNA (HVUL_LNC016106)
Source: RNAcentral
UGGCACUGAGUAGCAGCACGUCAGUUUCCUCUCUGCAGUGCAUUGAUGAACAGAGGGUGACAUGGAGAAAAUCACUAGCUGCAAGUUGCAAUGCCUAUGGCUGAUCCAUAGAAAACCACUUGGAUUUUGGAUGGAUAACGCUGGCCAUGUAAAGCGUUUUUGUCAUUUGAUAUUUGUGUGCGGCCGAACCCGAUCGACAAAGUAAAUUGAGCGUCUCAGACUGUCGAGCCAAAGAAAGAAGGGUCCAUAUGGAUGGAAAGGAAAAGUGCACCCCGACAGAAGAGCAGCUUCGGCUGUUUUGCUUACGUGCAAAUUUGGCCUGCCGCUCAAAAGACAAAGCAAAAUGAUAACGCGUUAUUGUAAACAGUCCCCAGAAUAGAUUUCUUUCUCCAGGGAAGCUAGACCUGUAGCAAUGGUCCGCGUGUAAUUUUGUUUGUCAUGGCAUUUUGUCGUUUUAGUAAAAAGGUUAUUAAGCCUUCAGUUCAAAAAAGGAAGAAAGAUAUUGAGCCUUUGUCUUAGUUUCUUUAAC